RNAcentral lists this ribosomal RNA (380 nucleotides) under uncultured eukaryote. RNAcentral's name for it is "partial 18S ribosomal RNA". It matches the Rfam family "Eukaryotic small subunit ribosomal RNA", at positions 592 to 976 of the family's 1831-position model. The record is from RNAcentral.
CAAUAGCGUAUAUUAAAGUUGUUGCAGUUAAAAAGCUCGUAGUUGGAUUUCUGCUGAGGACGAUCGGUCCGCCCACUGGGUGAGUAUCUGGCUCGGCCUUGGCAUCUUCUUGGAGAACGUUGCUGCACUCGACUGUGUGGCGCGGUAUCCAGGACUUUUACUUUGAGGAAAUUAGAGUGUUUCAAGCAGGCGCACGCCUUGAAUACAUUAGCAUGGAAUAAUGAGAUAGGACCUUGGUUCUAUUUUGUUGGUUUCUAGAGCUGAGGUAAUGAUUAAUAGGGAUAGUUGGGGGCAUUCGUAUUUAACUGUCAGAGGUGAAAUUCUUGGAUUUGUUAAAGAUGGACUACUGCGAAAGCAUUUGCCAAGGAUGUUUUCAUUGA